AGAGUUUGAUCCUGGCUCAGGACGAACGCUGGCGGCGUGCUUAACACAUGCAAGUGGUGCGACGAACCAGGGCUUGCCCUGGGGCAAAGCCGCGAACGGGUGAGUAACACGUGAGUAACCUGCCCCGAUGACCGGGACAACCCGAGGAAACUCGGGCUAAUACCGGAUGUGGCGCACAGGCGUAAGCUUGUUCGCUAAAGGAAGCUUCGGCCUCCGCAUUGGGAGGGGCUCGCGGCCCAUUAGCUUGUUGGUGGGGUAACGGCCUACCAAGGCAACGAUGGGUAGCUGGUCUGAGAGGACGAUCAGCCACACUGGGACUGAGACACGGCCCAGACUCCUACGGGAGGCAGCAGUGGGGAAUCUUGCGCAAUGCGCGAAAGCGUGACGCAGCAACGCCGCGUGGGGGAAGACGGCCUUCGGGUUGUAAACCCCUUUCAGGAGGGACGAAGGCUCGCCGGUGAAUAGCCGUGCGAGUUGACGGUACCUCCACAAGAAGCUCCGGCUAACUACGUGCCAGCAGCCGCGGUAAUACGUAGGGAGCAAGCGUUGUCCGGAAUCAUUGGGCGUAAAGCGCGCGUAGGUGGCCUCAUAAGUCCGCUGUGAAAGUCAAAGGCUCAACCUUUGAAAGCCGGUGGAUACUGUGGGGCUAGAGUACGGAAGAGGCGAGUGGAAUUCCUGGUGUAGCGGUGGAAUGCGCAGAUAUCAGGAGGAACACCAAUAGCGAAGGCAGCUCGCUGGGACGUUACUGACACUGAGGCGCGAAAGCGUGGGGAGCGACAGGAUUAGAUACCCNNGUAGUCC
RNAcentral lists this ribosomal RNA (801 nucleotides) under uncultured bacterium. Its description in RNAcentral is "bacterial SSU rRNA". It matches the Rfam family "Bacterial small subunit ribosomal RNA", at positions 8 to 796 of the family's 1533-position model. The record is from RNAcentral.